CCUACGGGUGGCAGCAGUAGGGAAUAUUGCUCAAUGGGGGAGAUCCUGAACCAGCCAAGCCGCGUGAGGGAAGACGGCCCUAUGGGUUGUAAACCUCUUUUGUCGGAGAACAAAACCCGGUACGUGUCCCGGACUGCGUGUAUCCGAAGAAAAAGCAUCGGCUAACUCCGUGCCAGCAGCCGCGGUAAUACGGAGGAUGCGAGCGUUAUCCGGAUUUAUUGGGGUUAAAGGGUGCGUAGGCGGACUGUUAAGUGAGCGGUAAAAGACCGGGGCUCAACCCCGGCGAGCCGUUGAAACUGGCUGUCUGGAGAUGUCGAGAGGUAUGCGGAAUGCGCAGUGUAGCGGUGAAAUGCUUAGAUAUUGCGCAGAACUCCGAUUGCGAAGGCAGCAUACCGGAGGCGAACUGACGCUGAGGCACGAAAGCGUGGGUAUCGAACAGGAUUAGAUACCCGAGUAGUC
RNAcentral lists this ribosomal RNA (459 nucleotides) under uncultured bacterium. RNAcentral's name for it is "partial 16S ribosomal RNA". It matches the Rfam family "Bacterial small subunit ribosomal RNA", at positions 338 to 795 of the family's 1533-position model. The record is from RNAcentral.